This 447-nucleotide ribosomal RNA is filed under the name uncultured bacterium. Its description in RNAcentral is "bacterial SSU rRNA". It matches the Rfam family "Bacterial small subunit ribosomal RNA", at positions 355 to 825 of the family's 1533-position model. The record is from RNAcentral.
UCGGGAAUUUUGGGCAAUGGGCGAAAGCCUGACCCAGCAACGCCGCGUGAAGGAUGAAGUAUUUCGGUAUGUAAACUUCGUAAGAAUAGGAAGAAUAAAUGACGGUACUAUUUGUAAGGUCCGGCUAACUACGUGCCAGCAGCCGCGGUAAUACGUAGGGACCAAGCGUUGUUCGGAUUUACUGGGCGUAAAGGGCGCGUAGGCGGUGUGUCAAGUCAGUUGUGAAAUCUCCGAGCUUAACUCGGAACGGUCAACUGAUACUGCCACACUAGAGUACAGAAGGGGCAAUCGGAAUUCUUGGUGUAGCGGUGAAAUGCGUAGAUAUCAAGAGGAACACCUGAGGCGAAGGCGGGUUGCUGGGCUGAUACUGACGCUGAGGCGCGAAAGCUAGGGUAGCAAACGGGAUUAGAUACCCCCGUAGUCCCUGAGCGGGCUGGCAAGGCGCAU